RNAcentral lists this ribosomal RNA (458 nucleotides) under uncultured bacterium. Its description in RNAcentral is "partial 16S ribosomal RNA". It matches the Rfam family "Bacterial small subunit ribosomal RNA", at positions 338 to 795 of the family's 1533-position model. The record is from RNAcentral.
CCUACGGGAGGCAGCAGUGAGGAAUAUUGGUCAAUGGGCGAGAGCCUGAACCAGCCAAGUCGCGUGAGGGAGUACUGCCCUAUGGGUUGUAAACCUCUUUUGUCGGGGAGCAAAAGCCGGACGUGUCCGGCUGUGAGAGUACCCGAAGAAAAAGCAUCGGCUAACUCCGUGCCAGCAGCCGCGGUAAUACGGAGGAUGCGAGCGUUAUCCGGAUUUAUUGGGUUUAAAGGGUGCGCAGGCGGAUUUUUAAGUCAGCGGUAAAAUCGUGGGGCUCAACCCCAUCCAGCCGUUGAAACUGGGGAUCUAGAGUGUGCGAGAGGUAUGCGGAAUGCGUGGUGUAGCGGUGAAAUGCAUAGAUAUCACGCAGAACCCCGAUGGCGAAGGCAGCAUACCGGUGCACAACUGACGCUCAGGCACGAAAGCGUGGGUAUCGAACAGGAUUAGAUACCCCGGUAGUC